Molecule: ribosomal RNA, 471 nt
Filed under: uncultured bacterium
Lineage: Bacteria
Description: bacterial SSU rRNA
Rfam family: Bacterial small subunit ribosomal RNA
Source: RNAcentral
UAGAGUUUGAUCAUGGCUCAGAGCGAACGCUGGCGGCAGGCUUAACACAUGCAAGUCGAGCGGGCGUAGCAAUACGUCAGCGGCAGACGGGUGAGUAACGCGUGGGAACAUACCUUUUGGUUCGGAACAACACAGGGAAACUUGUGCUAAUACCGGAUAAGCCCUUACGGGGAAAGAUUUAUCGCCGAAAGAUUGGCCCGCGUCUGAUUAGCUAGUUGGUGAGGUAAUGGCUCACCAAGGCGACGAUCAGUAGCUGGUCUGAGAGGAUGAUCAGCCACAUUGGGACUGAGACACGGCCCAAACUCCUACGGGAGGCAGCAGUGGGGAAUAUUGGACAAUGGGCGCAAGCCUGAUCCAGCCAUGCCGCGUGAGUGAUGAAGGCCCUAGGGUUGUAAAGCUCUUUUGUGCGGGAAGAUAAUGACGGUACCGCAAGAAUAAGCCCCGGCUAACUUCGUGCCAGCAGCCGCGGUA